GAUGAUCCCCGAUUUACCUCACCACUCCUUGCUAAUUCAUCCUAUAUACCGCCAUCUUCAGUUAACCCUAAAAAGGAAAUAAAGUAAGCCUAAUCAGUAUUACUAAAGAAGUUAGGUCAAGGUGUAGCCCAUGGAGUGGAGCGAAAUGGGCUACAUUUUCUAUUACUAGAACAUUACGAAACUCUACGUGAAAUCCGUAGAAUAAAGGAGGAUUUAGUAGUAAAUUAAAACUAGAGUGUUUAAUUGAAUAGAGCAAUGAAGCACGCACACACCGCCCGUCACCCUCCUCAAUUUCUCAACAAUUAAAAGUACAUAACACCUAAUUACAAAAGAUUGAGAGGAGACAAGUCGUAACAAGGUAAGUGUACUGGAAAGUGCACUUGGAAAAAUCAAAAU
Molecule: non-coding RNA, 396 nt
Filed under: Dipodomys ordii (Ord's kangaroo rat)
Lineage: Eukaryota; Metazoa; Chordata; Mammalia; Rodentia; Heteromyidae
Description: Bacterial small subunit ribosomal RNA
Rfam family: Bacterial small subunit ribosomal RNA
Source: Rfam by way of RNAcentral